GAUGAACGCUGGCGGCGUGCCUAAUACAUGCAAGUCGAGCGAAUGGAUUAAGAGCUUGCUCUUAUGAAGUUAGCGGCGGACGGGUGAGUAACACGUGGGUAACCUGCCCAUAAGACUAGGAUAACUCCGGGAAACCGGGGCUAAUACCGGAUAACAUUUUGAACCGCAUGGUUCGAAAUGGAAAGGCGGCUUCGGCUGUCACUUAGGGAUGGACCCGCGUCGCAUUAGCUAGUUGGUGGGGUAACGGCUCACCAAGGCAACGAUGCGUAGCCGACCUGAGAGGGUGAUCGGCCACACUGGGACUGAGACACGGCCCAGUCUCCUACGGGAGGCAGCAGUAGGGAAUCUUCCGCAAUGGACGAAAGUCUGACGGAGCAACGCCGCGUGAGUGAUGAAGGCUUUCGGGUCGUAAAACUCUGUUGUUAGGGAAGAACAAGUGCUAGUUGAAUAAGCUGGCACCUUGACGGUACCUAACCAGAAAGCCACGGCUAACUACGUGCCAGCCGCCGCCGUAA
This 515-nucleotide ribosomal RNA is filed under the name uncultured bacterium. RNAcentral's name for it is "partial 16S ribosomal RNA". It matches the Rfam family "Bacterial small subunit ribosomal RNA", at positions 28 to 523 of the family's 1533-position model. The record is from RNAcentral.